This 761-nucleotide ribosomal RNA is filed under the name uncultured bacterium. Its description in RNAcentral is "bacterial SSU rRNA". It matches the Rfam family "Bacterial small subunit ribosomal RNA", at positions 81 to 861 of the family's 1533-position model. The record is from RNAcentral.
UACGAGAGUAUCUAGUGGCGAACGGGUGAGUAACGCGUUGGUGACCUACCCAAAGUGUGGGAUAACAGUCCGAAGGAUGCUAAUACCGCAUGUGGUAUCGGGUUUAGAAACUGGUAACUAAAGGAGCAAUUCGCUUUGGGAGGGACCUGCGUCCCAUCAGCUAGUUGGUGAGGUAACGGCUCACCAAGGCUACGACGGGUAGGGGACCUGAGAGGGUGACCCCCCACAAUGGAACUGAAACACGGUCCAUACACCUACGGGUGGCAGCAGUAGGGAAUAUUGCACAAUGGGCGAAAGCCUGAUGCAGCAACGCCGCGUGUGCGAUGAAGGCCUUCGGGUCGUAAAGCACUUUUCUGAGAGAUGAGCAAGGACAGUAUCUCAGGAAUAAGUCUCGGCUAACUACGUGCCAGCAGCCGCGGUAACACGUAGGAGGCGAGCAUUAUCCGGAUUCACUGGGCGUAAAGCGCGUGCAGGCGGUUUGGUAAGUUGGGCGUGAAAGCUCCCGGCUCAACUGGGAGAGGUCGUUCAAUACUACCGAACUAGAGAGCAGAAGAGGAAGAUGGAAUUCCCGGUGUAGUGGUGAAAUGCGUAGAUAUCGGGAGGAACACCAGUGGCGAAGGCGAUCUUCUGGUCUGUUUCUGACGCUCAGACGCGACAGCUAGGGUAGUAAACGGGAUUAGAGACCCCGGUAAUCCUAGCCGUAAACGAUGUGAACUUGGCGUUGGUGGCUUAAACACCAUCGGUGCCGAAGCAAACGCGAU